RNAcentral lists this ribosomal RNA (458 nucleotides) under uncultured bacterium. RNAcentral's name for it is "partial 16S ribosomal RNA". It matches the Rfam family "Bacterial small subunit ribosomal RNA", at positions 338 to 795 of the family's 1533-position model. The record is from RNAcentral.
CCUACGGGAGGCAGCAGUGAGGAAUAUUGGUCAAUGGCCGGAAGGCUGAACCAGCCAUGCCGCGUGAAGGUCAGUGCCCUAUGGGCGUUAAACUUCUUUUGUGCGGGAGCAAUAAUGGUCACGUGUGGCCAGACGAGAGUACCGUACGAAUAAGCAUCGGCUAACUCCGUGCCAGCAGCCGCGGUAAUACGGGGGAUGCAAGCGUUAUCCGGAUUUAUUGGGUUUAAAGGGUGCGCAGGCGGUCUGUUAAGUCAGCGGUCAAAGCCCGGGGCUCAACCCCGGCCCGCCGUUGAAACUGGCAGUCUCGAGUUGGAGAGAAGUAUGCGGAAUGCGCGGUGUAGCGGUGAAAUGCAUAGAUAUCGCGCAGAACUCCGAUUGCGAAGGCAGCUUACUAAACUGCCACUGACAUUGAUGCUCGAAAGUGUGGGUAUCAAACAGGAUUAGAUACCCUUGUAGUC